UUUUUAACCAAGCACUGAGCACUACAGCUUGAGUUCCACCCUGGAUCAGGCAGUAUGUGGGGAAGAGAAGUAUAAGACGAGGGCUCUGCCGCACGGACGUGGGUCUAUUAGGAAGACAAUACCGAUGGCCAAGACGUAAGCCAGAGAACAGUAAAGAGCGUGAAGUGAUUGAAAGUGCAAUGCUGUGGCUCUGAGGCCUGCAUGGCAAGAGGGAAUUUGAGAACUCCCAGAUGAGCUUUGGGUUUGGGCUGUAACGGUUUCAGCUCCUUUACACACAGGAAGAUGUGAAGAGCCUCCCCAAAGAAAAUUGACUCAACGUGAUUGUUUUUCUGUCCCCAAAUGUGUGUGUUCUGUUCAUUUGGGCCCCGGGGCUGGUUUAUUUCCUCCUGCACAAUGUAGGGCCCCUGCUUUCCUGGCGUAAGUGGCAUUUUCUGUUCCUUUGAUGUUCCUCUAUAGCCCCACAGAGAAACCAGAGAAUAAAGCUGUCAGCAGCAAACUCUCUUCCAGCAAGAUGGAACCACAUAAACCUCAGAGAUGUUCAGGGACAGAACAUCUUCUUUCCGUGCUGGGCAAAGCCACACUGUCUGCUACCAACAAGGAAGCAGGCCUGCCGGGACCCUUGCUGUCUGGAAGGGGAUUCUUGCAGUGCUGGAUCCUUGGAAGAAAGUGACGAGACCGAGUAUUCCACAGUUCUUGCCUGGCGUCCUUUCCCUGACCAGCAUGCCCCUGGGGCGCCUGUGUGUUCCAUGCAGCGCUCAGACUGCCUAGUCACUGCGCAGGCCUUCAGUCAUUUCAAAUCCAUCUUACUUAAACGCAGUCCAAGAGGGCAGAGAAACAAGAUUCUGGGUACUUCUCCACAACAUGGGAAAGGGUAUUUAUUUUACCAUCAUCAACAAUAUGGCAAGAUUUAGGGAUUCAAUGAUCAACUGGGCUUGGGGAGCUAGGAAGGGGAGGAGAAGAGACAAAAGUCCCAGCUUCCAAGGGCUCACAGGUCAUUUGAGAUUAAACCUACACUCAUGGAACCAGAAAACACUCCGAACUGUGUCAAGCCAUGUGCGAUGUAGGACAUCUUGUCCCACAAAGUGAUGGGAGAAUGAACACAGAGGUCAAGUUUGAUCUUUUGCCAAAGUCUCGCCAUGGUAACAGGGUUGUCUGCCACUCGCUGAGCAUUUACCUGGCAGGCGCUGAGCCCUUUCAUGGAUGGCCCCACGAUUCUUCAACAACCCUACGAAAUAGAAACUUAAUGGUCCCAUUUUACAGAUAAGAAACUGAUGCUCAGGGAGGUUACGCAACAGAAUUUAAUGAGUGGCAGAGCCAGGACUUGAGCUCGGGAUAUCUGACUGAACAGCCCUAUUCUUAUCCACGCUGGUACACUACCUCUUGGCACAAAGAAUUUUUAUCUAAACUUUGCAAGAGAAAAGGCUGGUUAAAAAAAAAAAAAUCAAAAACAGAGGCUGCUCUGAGGAAGACUGCAGAGUGGAGGAAACAGCAUUCGCAAAGGCUCAAGACCUCUCAGUAGCCAGAGGUGAGCAAAAUGUUUGAAAAAACCAAUGUCCAGCCUUCCAGGGACUCACAGAGGAAGAUGAAUGGGAACUGAGUCUCCUGGGUGGGCACAGCGUUGGGUGUGUGCAGGGAAGGGAGAAGGCUGGAGGCUAAUCCACAAGAACCCCCCCCCAAGGUGGAUAUUUGGAUAUUUGUGAAGAUUUUAGAUAACAAAUGGAACCAGGCCCACAUAAACCACCAGAGUUAAGCUUGGUUCUGAAGGCAAAGCAGCACAGAACCCCUACAUCAAGAAGGCCACUGACUUUGACAAAGGAAACAAGGACCAGGCAAGACAUGAAAGUGAGGAAUUAGUGAAAGAGACACCACCCCUCACUCCCAGCCACUGCCACCUGCCACCAAAGCUCCAGAGAACAACGUGGAGGCACCCGCAGAAGACACACUCCAGCUUGUACCUUAUAAUUCAGAUUUAAUGCACUUGAACAGUCGGUGACUGCGUUGUCCGAGAUCAGAGAAAUUUAGAGCUAGAAGGAACUUCAAGUAACACUGAGUCACCAUCUCCCCUCCCCCUCCCACCGCCACCAGCACGGCCAGCUGUCCCAGCCACCCCACCCCACCCCAACUGCGUCUGGAUAUCACUGGACUCGGCCCAGAUGGGCUCCAGUUCAGAACCUCGAAGAAAGCAAGCUUCACAGGACCUCCUCUGGUCGUGGAUUCCGAUGUUAACCUCAUGUAUGACAAUGAGGCUCUUUCAAAUGCUGUGAUUCAAACUAUUUUUCUCUUUUUCUGCUCUGCAGGACAUAGAGAACAGCUUUCACCUUAAAUCUGUAGGUUUAACAUGCUUUUAUAAGAUAUAUACCAAUUGUUAAAAGUGGUUAUCUCUGACACGAGAUGGUAGAAAAAUUCCUAUUUUUUUUUCAUUGUUGCAUUUCUUUUAAAACCCUGAUAUAUUAUUUCUGCCGUCUCCCGCAAUAAAAGACACAGUAUUUUAAAAGCUCCUCA
This is a long non-coding RNA of Ursus maritimus (polar bear), 2502 nucleotides long. The record is from Ensembl. NCBI's taxonomy places the organism in Eukaryota, Metazoa, Chordata, Mammalia, Carnivora, Ursidae.